GACGAACGCUGGCGGCGUGCUUAACACAUGCAAGUCGAACGGAACGGCCCCUUUGGGGGUCCUCGGGUGGCGUACGGGGGGGUAACACGUGAGUAACCUGCCCUUGACUUCGGGAUACCUUCAGUAAACUGGGGCUAAUACCGGAGAGGAAUCCUUGCUGCAUGGUGGGGGUUGGAAAGCUGCGGCGGUUUUGGAUGGACUUGCGGCCUAUCAGCGUGGUGGUGGGGUAGUGGCUUAGCAAGGCUUUGACGGGUAGCCGGCCUGGGUGGGCGACCGGCCACAGUGGGACUGAGACUCGGACCAGACUCCGACGCGUGGCAGAAGUGGCGGAGGGUGCUCUAAGGGCGUAGGCCUGAUGCAGCAACGCCGCGGGCGGGAGGACGGUCUUGGGGUUGGAAUCCUAAUUCAGCAGGGGCUGGGCAUGUGAUGACGGUACCUGCAGAAGAAGCACCGGCUAACUACGUG
This 465-nucleotide ribosomal RNA is filed under the name uncultured bacterium. RNAcentral describes it as "partial 16S ribosomal RNA". It matches the Rfam family "Bacterial small subunit ribosomal RNA", at positions 28 to 507 of the family's 1533-position model. The record is from RNAcentral.